This 427-nucleotide RNase P RNA is filed under the name Stieleria maiorica. RNAcentral's name for it is "Bacterial RNase P class A". It matches the Rfam family "Bacterial RNase P class A". Rfam says of the family: Ribonuclease P (RNase P) is a ubiquitous endoribonuclease, found in archaea, bacteria and eukarya as well as chloroplasts and mitochondria. The record is from Rfam by way of RNAcentral. Lineage: Bacteria; Pseudomonadati; Planctomycetota; Planctomycetia; Pirellulales; Pirellulaceae.
CCAGAGGGCGGGGCGAUCGCUCGUCGGCGUUUUGCCGGCGGGAGGAAAGUCCGGGCUCCGCAGGACAGGAUGGUCGAUAACGUCGACCGGCCGCGAGGCCAGGGAAAGUGCAACAGAGAGCAGACCGCCGAACGGUUCACCGGGGCUCGUCCCCGCUGGACGCGUGGUAAGGGUGAAACGGUGCGGUAAGAGCGCACCAGCGAUCGGGGUGACCCGAUCGGCUCGGUAAACCCCAUCCGGAGCUAGACCAAACAGGGUGCAGAAGCGGUCCGCUUCGCCAUCGACACUCGGGUAGGUCGCAAUGGAGGCGACGAGCAAUCGUCGUGCACAGAUAAAUGAUCGCUGCCAUCGGCGCGCCGCUGCCGGAAUCCGUUCCGGCCGCCCGCUCCGAUCGGUACAGAACCCGGCUUACAAGCCCUCUGGUCGU